This 59-nucleotide microRNA precursor is filed under the name Caenorhabditis briggsae. RNAcentral's name for it is "Cbr-Mir-9-P16_pre stem-loop". Lineage: Eukaryota; Metazoa; Nematoda; Chromadorea; Rhabditida; Rhabditidae. The record is from RNAcentral.
UCUUUGGUUGUACAAAGUGGUAUGGCUCUCUUGCUCAUACCGCUUUACAGCUAAAGGAA